AACGGCAGCACGGGAGCUUGCUCCUGGUGGCGAGUGGCGAACGGGUGAGUAAUGCGUCGGAACGUACCGAGUAAUGGGGGAUAACGCAGCGAAAGCUGUGCUAAUACCGCAUACCCCCUGAGGGGGAAAGUGGGGGAUCGCAAGACCUCACGUUAUUCGAGCGGCCGACGUCUGAUUAGCUUGUUGGUGUGGUAAUGGCCCACCAAGGCGACGAUCAGUAGCGGGUCUGAGAGGAUGAUCCNCCACACUGGAACUGAGACACGGUCCAGACUCCUACGGGAGGCAGCAGUGGGGAAUUUUGGACAAUGGGGGCAACCCNGAUCCAGCCAUUCCGCGUGAGUGAAGAAGGCCUUCGGGUUGUAAAGCUCUUUCAGCUGGAAAGAAACGGUAGAGGCUAAUACCCUUUGCUAAUGACGGCACCAGCANAAGAAGCACCGGCUAACUACGUGCCAGCAGCCGCGGUAAUACGUAGGGUGCGAGCGUUAAUCGGAAUUACUGGGCGUAAAGCGUGCGCAGGCGGAUUGUCCACCAAGAUGUGAAAUCCCCGGGCUUAACCUGGGAAUGGCAUUUUGAACUGGCAGUCUAGAGUGCGUCAGAGGGGGGGGGGAAUUCCACGUGUAGCAGUGAAAUGCGUAGAUAUGUGGAGGAACACCAAUGGCGAAGGCAGCCCCCUGGGAUGACACUGACGCUCAUGUACGAAAGCGUGGGUAGCAAACAGGAUUAGAUACCCUGGUAGUCCACGCCCUAAACGAUGUCAACUGGUUGUUGGGGGAGUGAAAUCCCUUAGUAACGAAGCUAACGCGUGAAGUUGACCGCCUGGGGAGUACGGUCGCAAGAUUAAAACUCAAAGGAAUUGACGGGGACCCGCACAAGCGGUGGAUGAUGUGGAUUAAUUCGAUGCAACGCGAAAAACCUUACCUACCCUUGACAUGUCCAGAANCCCUGCAGAGAUGCGGGGGUGCCCGAAAGGGAAUUGGAACACAGGUGCUGCAUGGCUGUCNUCAGCUCGUGUCGUGAGAUGUUGGGUUAAGUCCCGCAACGAGCGCAACCCUUAUCAUUAGUUGCUACGCAAGGGCACUCUAAUGAGACUGCCGGUGACAAACCGGAGGAAGGUGGGGAUGACGUCAAGUCCUCAUGGCCCUUAUGGGUAGGGCUUCACACGUCAUACAAUGGUCGGUACAGAGGGUUGCCAAGCCGCGAGGUGGAGCCAAUCCCAGAAAGCCGAUCGUAGUCCGGAUUGUUCUCUGCAACUCGAGAGCAUGAAGUCGGAAUCGCUAGUAAUCGCGGAUCAGCAUGUCGCGGUGAAUACGUUCCCGGGUCUUGUACACACCGCCCGUCACACCAUGGGAGUGGAAUCUGCCAGAAGUAGGUAGCC
RNAcentral lists this ribosomal RNA (1375 nucleotides) under uncultured beta proteobacterium. RNAcentral's name for it is "16S ribosomal RNA". It matches the Rfam family "Bacterial small subunit ribosomal RNA", at positions 65 to 1435 of the family's 1533-position model. The record is from RNAcentral. Lineage: Bacteria; Pseudomonadati; Pseudomonadota; Betaproteobacteria.